AGGAAAGAGAACAAAGAGGCUCAGCCAACUCUGUCCCGGGGAAACUGAAGUCUUGACCACAGCUUGCCAGUCUCAUCUUUGGAACUCAGUCUGCCCACCACUCCCACCAAGGCUCACACUAGAGGAAAUACUAAGGGAUGUUCUUCAAGCAACAUGUAUAUAAAUGAUCCAAGAUGGAAGCUUAAAGACAUGAGAAGAAAUGAAAGCAACAAAAAUGGUGGAAGUAGACUGCCCUUCUUCACAAUGAGGGAGAGGAAGGAAGCCACCUGCCCUGAAGGAUGCUGACCUAUGCGCCAAGUACCCAAGGCUGCAAGGAAGAGAGUGUGUAAUGAGGAACUCCUGCAGGCAGCUCACCCCGGGGACCAGCUGCAGGGCCUCUGACAACAGAUGCAGGAACACUGCGAAAGGAAACCCACAGUCGCCACGGGCCCCAAACACGGCAACCUGCUCUGUUUGUCUGUUUGAUUGUCACGCUUUAUUCAUUCUUCCCUUCCUCCAGGCUGCGACCCAUCCUUGCCCAGACCCAUGGGUGACCCUGGACUGAAGACAAGAAUCAAUACCAAGGCCUGGGACCUCUGGGGCUUUCAGGAAGCACUAUGGUGAAAGCACUUUCUCUCUACAGAAGAGAACAGUGUGCACCAAGAAAGGAAAACAGUACUGAACCCACAUAUGUGUUUUGCAGUCACAUGAGGGGAAGGUGCUAGAAAGGCCUUUGGGUGUUCAGUGCUGACAGUGACACCAGCUCUCCAGGGACAUCAGUUUGAACACACACUGCUCCUCGAGUGCCAUCAGCAGCCCAGCCACAUGUGCAACAUUGGCUGGCCGACCCCAGGAGAGUCCAGUGAGGCCUCACCACAGCAAGGAGGCCAGCCCAUGGCCACUGAGGGGCCAGGGCCACUCACCAGCCCAUUUGGGGCAUUCAGUGGGGUGACAGCCAACUGGAGGACACCUCUGCCCUCAGAGGCUAAUGCUCCAAUUUCCUGCUUUCACAACCUGGGGCACCCCAGGCCCCACAAGUUCAGCACAAGGAAGAGGGGGAGCCAGAGUACAUGCGUCUCCACUCCAAGAGCAAGACAGACCCAAACGUGGCAUCUCCAGGCAGGUCAGUUCUCUGGACACCAGAGAGGCUGUCUUAGGACAAAGUCUAAACUCCCUACCCUGCCCACAAGUCCCUGCAGACUUUGGCUCCUGCCACCUCUUGGCACUGCAUGCUUCAGCGUAUAGUCGGGGCCUCCAACAUGCUGUUCCCACUUUGCCUACGGGUCUUUGAUCAGGCGGUACCUCUGCCUAGGAGACAUUCUGCUCUUUUCAUCGGGCCAAGUCCCACUCAUCCUUCAGGUCUCAGACACUGCUUCCUCCAGGAAACCUUCCCUGACCCCAAGGCUGAGAGAGGAACUGCACUAUGAGCCCUUAACACCUCCUAAGCCCCCAACACUGUGCUCAGCACACUAAAUCCCAAGUGCCUGUUUCCUCCUCCCCAGCAGACAACAGGCUCCAUGGGGCAGAGUCUGCAGACUGCUGUACCUUGGCACUUGGUUUGCAUUUGCUUCUUGAGAUACUCAUUCAAGACUGAGCCCAAGGUGAGUCAGAGCCAUGCCUGGGCAGAAGCACUGCUCACAGCCAGCGCUGCCAACCCGGGCUCCUGCCUGGUCCUGACUUCCAGUCUCUCUCCCUGAUGCAUGUCAGAGCUCCCUGAGAUGCUGAGAUGAAGUGAACAGACCCAGCCUCAUGACCCCACCCCACCCGCCCCCUAGCCCCAGGCCCUCUCCAGCUAAGCUGAACACAAGUCCUUCUCUAACUGCUGGCCUGCAAGCCCCCUGCCCCUUUACUGCAACUUGCAACUCGCUAACCCACACUACAUGCAGGCCAACUGGGAAAGUGCCAGCCCCACUCCUGCCCCCAGCCCACUUUUCCUUCCCUAAGGCUUCCCACCCCUGUCCAGACCAUGGCCAGGGACACAAGCCUAUGGGUCUGCUCACCUCAUGCUCUUACAUGGCUGGACUUCAAGUCACCGAGGUCUGGCCAGGAUGCCAGGGGGCCAUAAUGAGGGCCCUCCCUAGAGUAGCCCAGCAUGGCCCAGCUGGCCCCACAGUCUGGGCUCACAUCCUGAAAAGCUCUCUCUCAGAUACUCUGCGGUCUCCAGCUAUAGCCAGACUGAGUAAGUGGCCUGGAACUGCCAUCUUGGGCUAGUUAGAGUUGCCCAAGCCUUAGACAAAUCUCUCUGGACACAAAACAGCUGUCUGCAAUGCUAUAUGUCCCCCCACCAACUGGGAGUUCACAAGCAGGCCAGAGGGCCCCCCAUUCUCCAUGCUACUGGACACAUGGGCCCUGUUCUCAAAGGAUUUGCAAACCAAUAAGGAAGGAGGCAAAAGAGGUGGACCUGCCUCCCACAAGUGUCAUCUCCCCAGGGAGCAGGCAGGAAGCCCGAGGAUCCUCUCACUCCCAGUCCAGAGAGGCCCUGGAUCAUCACUUCUCUGGACUGAACUUCCGCUCUGAAACGCAGCACCCAGGCCAACAGGCCAGGGACACAUGAGUCCCAAGGGUCUCAGCCAUCAGGCUGGUCAGGCUCAGAAGCUUGGCCAGGGUUCAAGCUGCCUGCAGGUUGCACUUAGACGUAAAAAUGCCAACAUUGAGAUGCUUUUAAAGGGAAAUGUAUGCGAGGAGAAUCCUUUCGGGGCUUAUGAGGCACUCUCAGGGCUCUAUCCAGCCACCUACCCUAUCCCCGCCCCCACUGCCCCACAAACACCUGGGAAGCCAGCAGAGCCAGGACUGUUUUGCAGGGGGAAAGCUACUAAAAGACAGGAAACGCGGAGUCAUGGGCAAGCCAGGAAAGGAGUAAGCCUCCAGGCCAGCUUCUGCCUACACUAGGAGGACUGGCUGUCUCCCUCCUAGCAAGGGCCACAAAGCAUCAUAGGCAGCCCUGGAAAACCCCCUCCAAAGGACUUGGGAAUCCCAGCUGGCAGGUUUAGGCUCUCUCCACAGGAGAUGCAGCAAAUGCCCCAGCUGCCAGGUCCUCAAGUGACUGAGCGUGUGGCAAAGGCCUCAUGGGGGACCGCUGUGGCCCCUGGCCUGUCUCCUCACAACCCUCUCUAUGCCCUAGGGGGCUGGCACCACCAGAGGCUGCUCCAGCUCCUUCAGCCCCUUCCAGGCAGCCUGGGGCAGGGCUCUCUGGAGGCUGAGCUUGAGAAUGCCCCCGUGUCAGACUCUGCACUGGGCCAAGGUACAGAGGAGGCCCCUCACAGGAGCCUCCCUAGACACAGCCUACUCCCCCACC
Microcebus murinus (gray mouse lemur) is the source of this 3274-nucleotide non-coding RNA. Lineage: Eukaryota; Metazoa; Chordata; Mammalia; Primates; Cheirogaleidae. The record is from RefSeq and is a predicted model, not a curated record.